AUGCCUACGAACCAGAGCCCAACCGAAUCGGAUCAGAACGCCGUCCCGUGGCUGAUCCGAGCCGUCCACCCGCUAGGGUUUCCCCUUCCCAGCACCCUACCCCCCUAUAAAGUAGGAGGUGAGAGCCCCCGCCGCCAACAAUCUACGGAGAUCGGGUUCGUCCACACACUUCCGCCGCCGCCGCCGACGACGCGAAAAGGAGAGCGAGGCCGACUCCGCCGCCGCGAUGAGGGCCAAGUGGAAGAAGAAGAGGAUGAGGAGGCUCAAGAGGAAGCGCCGAAAGAUGAGGCAGCGAUCCAAGUAGGCGGGAAGCAUCAUCUUACAUCCAGGCAGCGGAACUCUGAGGGAUGA
This 351-nucleotide ribosomal RNA is filed under the name Triticum aestivum (bread wheat). RNAcentral's name for it is "partial small subunit ribosomal RNA". The record is from RNAcentral. Lineage: Eukaryota; Viridiplantae; Streptophyta; Magnoliopsida; Poales; Poaceae.